GUGUGUGUGUGUGUGUGAGUGAGACGAUUCUAUAGCUGAUUCCAAAGUGAAGGGGGGAUGCCCACAGCUGGGGUGGAGGGAUAAGGAAAGACUUCAUGUGGCAUUUCUUGUGGGGAAUAGGUCGCUGAGUCUCGUUCUGAUCACUAAGAAACAAGUGAAGGUGGAGGGCGGUUCAAGCACGGCGGAUGGUCGGAGAAAAAGGGAGAGAUGGGAAGUGGGGCGUUGUACCUGUAGAACGCUAUGGACAGCUUGAGCAGAUCAAUGGGUGUGUGAAGGAAGGUAUUGGGAAUCCACGUUUUGAGUCGGAUUCUAGAGUUUCACGAGUGGGGGCAUGACCCGGUCAGGCCUGUGUUUGUUUUCAUUUUAAUUAUUUUUUUCAAAUGAAGAUUCCCUAUUCUCUCCAUCUCACUUUCCUUCCCCUAUGAAGAGAGCAAGAAAGACAAAACUCCCACCAUAAACGUGCACGGUUGAGCAAAACAAUUUCCCCAAUUGUAUAUGUCUAAAAAUGAACAUCGCAGUCUGCACUCGAGUUUAUCGCUAUCAGGAGGUGAACAGUAAGUUUCGUCAAGAGUUCUCUGCAGGUCUGGUUGGCCAGAGUACCAAAGUCUUGCAAAGUUGAUUAUUUUUACAAGAUGGGUUGUCGUAUGAAUUGUUCUCCUGAUUCUACUCAUUUUGUUUCGGUUCAUGAAAAAUCUCAGGUUUCUCGGAAACCAUUUCCUUGAUCAUUUCUUAAAGCACAAAAUAGUGUGUCCACCAAUUUUCACAUAAAGAAAUUAAAGGAGGGGACAAUUUGGAACAGAAGGAAUUGCAAGGGUCAAGGUUGAAAAACUACCCAUGCAACUGUUUUGUAAAUAAAAAGCUUUAAUAAAAAAAUAACAAAGUAAAAAUAAAAAGAAAUCAAGGGAGGGGAUAAUUUGGAACAGAAGGCAUUGCAAGGGUCAAGGUUGAAAAACUACCCAUGCAAAAAAAAAAAAAAAAGAAAAAAGAAAAACUACCCAUGCAUCUGUUUUGUAAAUAAAAAGCUUUAAUAAAAUAAAAAAAUAACAAAAAUAAAUUAAAGCUAUCCAUAGUCAUAUGAAAAAAUCAUUACUGAUUAGAGAAAUGCCAUUUAAAAUAACUUGGAGGUACCCACUUCCCAACUCUCAGAUUGACUAAAAUGACAAGAAAAGGAUAAUGAUGAAUGUUGGAGAGAUGUGGGAAAACUGGGACACUGAUGCACUGUUGAUGGACUUGUGAAAUGAUCCAGCCAUUCUGGAGAGCAAUUUCGAACUAUGUCCAAAGUGUCAUGCCCUUUGAUCCAACAGUACCAUUAUUGGAUCAAUAUCCAAGGAGAUCAUAAAGGAGGGCAAGGGACCCACAUAUGCCAAAAUGUUUGCAGCAGCUCUUUUUGUGGAAGCAAAGAAUUGGAAAAUGAGUAGAUGUCCACCAAUUGGGAAAUUACUGAAUAAGUUAUGGUAUAUGAAAGUAAUGGAAUAUUAGUGUUCUAUAAAAAAUAAGAAAUUAUGAAAAUAACAUGAUUUUUAAAAGCUCUGGAAAGAUUUAUAUGAAGUGAUGCUGACUGAAGCAAGCCGAAGCAGGAAUACAUUAUACACAGUAACAACAAGAUUAUGUGAUGAUCAACUAUGAAAGACUUGGUUCUUUUCUCAACGGACCCAUGAUCCAAAGCAAUCCCGAUAGACUUUAGCUAGAAAACGCCAUCUGCAACCAGAAAAACUACUAUGGAGAUGGAAUAUAAGUCAACACAUGCUCUGUUCCUUUUUUUUUGUUUAUCUCUCCCAUGGUUUUUCCCUUUUGUUCUGAUUUUUCUCUUCCAACAUGAUUCAGGGAAGCAAUGUGUAUUAAAAUUAAAAAAAAAAAACUUCCUGAAAAUUUAGCUCCGAUUACUAUAAUAGAUUUAAUCUUAAGCAAACAGAAGUGAAAAGAACCUUUUCUUUUCUUCAUCUGUGUAUAAAAGUAUAAAACUAAAACGAGCCUUCUCAGGUCAGAAAAAGAAGGGAUUGUUCCCAGAGUGGUUACGUGGAAAACCUCAUGCAGAGGGAGAACUAGGGAGGAGUCUGAAGGUAAACCAAUAUAUGUUAUGUUCUUUUCUCCCCUUUUUCUUUUUUUCCUCUUCUGUUUUUUUCUUUUCUCUCCUAACAUGAUUCAUAAGCAAAUGUGUAAAAAAAGGAAUGUACAUGGAUAGCCAAAAAAAAACAAAAAAAAAAGCGUGUCCCCUGCAAUCACGUCCCACAACUUGUUCACUUGCCCCGCAGCUGAUGGCUUCCCCACGAUGCUCCAUUCUUUGCCAUCGCAAGAACUCUUAUGAACCUUGUCCACAUGGGUCUUUCUUUGAUCUCUUUGGAGGAUGAACCUAAUAGGAGAAUUGCCGGGUCAAAAGAUGGGCAGUUUCAGUUUCAUUGUUUUGGUUCCUAAGGUACUUUUGGAAAGGACUUGGCACAAACGAGGUGCUUAAUUGUGGGUUUGCCUUCAUUUCAUCACUCACAACCAAGGGCGAUGUUUCCGUUUGUGAACGAAUUGGAUUUGAGUGGGGCAGACUUGCAAAGUCCCCAGCGUCCUUUAGCUACUGAAAUAAGUUGUCCACAUCAGCUCAUCCUGCCGGGGGGGGGGCGCCUGCUCGGUGUAGACACCCCCAGCUCGGCCGGGGGACACCUUCGGCCUUCACCUGCUCAGUGUAGACACCCCCAGCUCAGCCAGGGGACACCUUCGGCCUUCGCCUGCUCGGUGUAGACACCCCAGCUCGGCCAUGGCUCUAACGCUCACCCACCCUGCCGGGGGACGCCUUUGCCUGCUCGGUGUAGACACCCUCCCAACUGGCUGAUGGGCUCGAUGCCCAUCAGUUACUCUCAAUCUGGUUUAGCCCGUCUGCUGAGACGGUUAAUCGGGGUGUGGCCACUGCACUUGCUCCAGCUUCUUGGAGCCACAGCUGAGAGUUGAGGAGUGCCAAGUGAGCGAGCCGUCCUCCCACCAGAGAAACUAGUCCUCCCGGAACACCUCUCACCCCCCACGAUUGGGUCAGUUUUCUCAUUUUACAGAUUUGAGUCAAAUCCAACCGACCUCAGGCCUCCUGUCUGUGCUAUGAUCUCACUAGUUACUGGGGAUCCUGACACAUGAUACAGUCCUUACCCUCAAGAAGAGAGAAGAUGGCACGCACCUGCACCUGGCCGGCGAGGGGAGGGACGCACACGUAGCUGAGCAAAGCCACAUCGGACCCAGCAAAGUCUGAGCUAACACAUGUUGGAGGGAACAAAUUGAAAAUGUCCCAAAGAAAGAUAAAGUCAUUUCGAAGGGGAGAGGAAGCUGCUAAGCAGGACAUCGGCGGGGAGGGGUGAGAAGAGGGCGUUCCGGGCAGGGCGGCUGGCCCGAAGGGCACCCGGGGCCCAGCUGAAGGAAGGCAGCCGGCCGGAGGCGAGGUGAUGACGGCUUGCCCUCUCCCUUAGGCAGCAGAAGCGUACUGACCAUUUGGAGUAUGAAGUGAUGAGUCACAAGAAGCAAGAAGGGGAUGCUGAAGGGAAAGGAGCCGCCCCCAUCUCUGAGGACCCUACCCAGAAGUGACUCAGAGAAAGGGCCUUCUGCUCUCCAGAUCUCCACACGUUGGGCCCCGAGAGGGCCGCGCCAGAGCCGACGCACCAGGCAAGAUGGCAAUCGAGACGAGGGAUGACCUCGCCGCUGACAUUGUCCAGGGGGCUCUGGAGGGAGAGGGCGAGGAGGGCAGCUCCAGCCUGGGAUUCCGAGGUGCUGAACUUGGUGACUGGGACGACCCCUGGUCCAGAGCCAGGGCCCCGACAGCAGGAACGGCGUCGGACACACCGAUGAGGGCGGGGAGCAAGAGCCGGCGGGCCCGGAGCCCCGUGCUGAUCAGGCAGCGCACAGAACAUCUGCUUGGGUUAUUAAAUCGGGACAGAUCGGCUCUUUACCUCCUGGUCUGUCCAAAGGGCAAGCAGGGACAGGGCUGAGACAUGGGGAUUUUAGGAGACAACUAUGAUUUUGAGCCCCGAUGUACCUGAGAUCAUCUGGCUCAAUUCUUUUUACAAAAGAGGGCACAGAUACGGAGAGGGCAUGAGGGAGAUGAGGGGUUCGGGAGGCGAGCGAGCCGCAGGGAUUCCAUCUUGGGACUCGGUUCUGGAGCUAGCUCAGUUUCCUUUCUGUUGCAUUAUGGGUCGAGCCCCGAUUCUGUCCUGGGAGAACCCUUUCUUCAGUGGUGAGAGCUGGGAGGAAAGCCCUGGCUGCAGCUCGCCCCGAUUGCUCUCACGCUUCCUCGCUCCCCUGCUUACCCACGCUCGUGGGGAGACGGCCGCCUCCUAUUUCAGGGGGUCCCCCCAGCAAGCCCCUGGCCUUCCUCCACUUAGAAGCUGGAUGACCGAGGGUCUGGGUCGUCCUGACCGUUUGGAACAGGAAGCUUGGGAGCCCCGCUUUACUGGCCCCCCAAUGGCACGUUCCUCUUAAGGAGGUUCAGAUUCGCUGCUUUGGCCGUUUCAUCUUUCGCCCGCCACGACAGAUGUCUGCCCAGGGCCACGCAGGCGACGGCCCGUUCUCUGCCCGCAAACCCUGGGCGCUUUUCAUGGUACCCGUCUCACAUGCUUUCUGAGGAAACUGAGGCGAGGGGCGGACCUGCUUGCCCAUGGAGCUAGUUUAUAGGUAUGAAGCUAGGAUUCAGAACCCGACCAGGCUGCCAUUCUCACUGGAUCCCUACCCGGGGCCGCAAUUGUCCCGGAGCCUCCCCCUCAGCCCCGUUCUGAGAGCAUUAGACGGACCCAAGUGCAAAGACCAUGCAGAGAGAAGCCAUUUUUUUUUUUUUUU
Molecule: long non-coding RNA, 4797 nt
Organism: Antechinus flavipes (yellow-footed antechinus)
Lineage: Eukaryota; Metazoa; Chordata; Mammalia; Dasyuromorphia; Dasyuridae
Exons: 2
Source: RefSeq, a predicted model, not a curated record